GACGAACGCUGGCGGUGUGCUUAACACAUGCAAGUCGAACGGUAAGGCCCUUUCGGGGGUACACGAGUGGCGAACGGGUGAGUAACACGUGAGUAACCUGCCCUCAUCUCUGGGAUAACAGUCGGAAACGGUUGCUAAUACUGGAUAUGAGCUUGCAAGGCAUCUUGUGGGUUGGAAAGAUUUUUUUUGGUUGGGGAUGGACUCGCGGCCUAUCAGCUUGUUGGUGAGGUAGUGGCUCACCAAGGCUUCGACGGGUAGCCGGCCUGAGAGGGCGGCCGGCCACAUUGGGACUGAGAUACGGCCCAAACUCCUACGGGAGGCAGCAAUGGGGAAUAUUGCACAAUGGACGGAAGUCUGAUGCAGCAACGCCGCGUGCGGGAUGACGGCCUUCGGGUUGUAAACCGCUUUCAAUUGUGACGAAGCUUUUUUGUGACGGUAGCAGUAGAAGAAGCACCGGCUAACUACGUG
RNAcentral lists this ribosomal RNA (468 nucleotides) under uncultured bacterium. Its description in RNAcentral is "partial 16S ribosomal RNA". It matches the Rfam family "Bacterial small subunit ribosomal RNA", at positions 28 to 507 of the family's 1533-position model. The record is from RNAcentral.